Molecule: ribosomal RNA, 493 nt
Filed under: uncultured bacterium
Lineage: Bacteria
Description: partial 16S ribosomal RNA
Rfam family: Bacterial small subunit ribosomal RNA
Source: RNAcentral
AUUGAACGCUGGCGGCAUGCUUUACACAUGCAAGUCGAACGGUAACAGGUUAAGCUGACGAGUGGCGAACGGGUGAGUAAUGCAUCGGAACGUGCCCGAUCGUGGGGGAUAACGCAGCGAAAGCUGCGCUAAUACCGCAUACGAUCUGAGGAUGAAAGCGGGGGACCGUAAGGCCUCGAGCGAUCGGAGCGGCCGAUGUCAGAUUAGGUAGUUGGUGGGGUAGAGGCCCACCAAGCCGACGAUCUGUAGCUGGUCUGAGAGGACGACCAGCCACACUGGGACUGAGACACGGCCCAGACUCCUACGGGAGGCAGCAGUGGGGAAUUUUGGACAAUGGGCGAAAGCCUGAUCCAGCAAUGCCGCGUGCAGGAAGAAGGCCUUCGGGUUGUAAACUGCUUUUGUACGGAGCGAAAAGGUCCUUUCUAAUACAAGGGGCUCAUGACGGUACCGUAAGAAUAAGCACCGGCUAACUACGUGCCAGCCGCCGCAGUAA